This 253-nucleotide ribosomal RNA is filed under the name uncultured bacterium. RNAcentral's name for it is "partial 16S ribosomal RNA". It matches the Rfam family "Bacterial small subunit ribosomal RNA", at positions 524 to 776 of the family's 1533-position model. The record is from RNAcentral.
UACAGAGGUCCCAAGCGUUGUUCGGAUUCACUGGGCGUAAAGGGUGCGUAGGUGGUGAGGUAAGUCGGAUGUGAAAGCUCGGAGCUCAACUCCGAAAUGGCAUUGGAAACUACCUUGCUAGAGGAUUGGAGGGGGGACUGGAAUACUUGGUGUAGCAGUGAAAUGCGUAGAUAUCAAGUGGAGCACCAGUGGCGAAGGCGAGUCCCUGGACAAUACCUGACACUGAGGCACGAAAGCUAGGGGAGCAAACAGG